AAUAUGCUAGUGUAUACGAAUAAAUAACUAAUUUUUUGUUAAUAUGUAUUUACUGCAAAUUUUUUUAUAGAUUGAAUACGCAUUUAGUAGAUAUUCGCAAGUAUAUCCAAAUGUUGUUGUUGUUCCCAAAGAGCAAAGGCUUCAACUACUCCGGCCUUAUCGAUGGGCUUUAUCGCAAUAAAUCUUAUCAUUAUCCAUAUUUAUAAUUCGUGAAAAUGAUGCUGGAUGCAGUGGUGGCGGCGGCGGCGGCGGCGCCGAGUAUAAUCAUCGCCUGCAACAAAUGCUGUUGACGAUCAUGUUCAUGUAAACGUUGACGAUCACGAUCACGAUCAUCCCACAUGUCUCCUAGUACUACUUACUCCUCCUUUCUACUAUUGUACAGUUCAUAAGCUAAGCUCGCUCUCUCACAAGAUUUAUAUACUCGUACAUAUAUACAAAUGUACUCUAGUCUCAUUAUACUAGACAUUUAACAUGCAGACAUACAUAUGUACGUACGUACUUAUACAUAGAUAGUGUAUUUGUUUGUAAGCGCUAACAAAUUAUUUAAAUAGCGAAAAAAUUACGUAAACGUUGAAGCGUUGAAAUUAUAGUUGGAAGUUGAAAGUUGGCAUGUGAUGGAUUGUAUGUAUAUUUGUAGAAAAUGUUUGACGAUCUCUAUUUAGCUACUAUUUAAUGAUUAACAAAACGUGUUGUUGUUGGCCCGAAAAAGUGCAAAACAGUAAAAAAAAAACAAGAAAUGUUUGGAGGAAGAAACUAGCCUCGAAAAUCAAAUAAAAUUUAAGUGAUUCAGUAGUUUUACGAGAAAAAGCAAAAAAUAAAAAUAAUUAAAACGAAGUAAAAUACAAAAAAAAAAACAAAAAUAUAGUUCAUGGAUUCACAAGGUGUCGAUUUUCAGUGAUUCUUAGGAAGCUCAAAACAUUUUUACACGUUUUAAAAUUUGUUGACUUAUGACGAUAUAACUAACUAUUCAGCCAUAUCGCCAAUUCCAUGUGAAUAAAUCGUUCCCAUAAUUUAAUAGGCAAAACCAAAAUAAAUUGGAGAAAUUUGUUUUGGUUCUGCUUUAUAAUAUUUGGCAAUAUUUCUUCUCAUGGAAUUCGGGAUAAGGCCGAUAUGUCACCUUGUGAAUAUCCUAAGUAUGUUGUUAUCGUGUGGCAGAAAAUAUUUGCACUCGGGGAAGUAAUGUUUAUGGGAAAAAGUUUAUAUUGAGUAUAAUCGGCUCCUAUGUUGAAUGUCGUCAUCGUCAUUGUCCACGAUCGUCAGCGUAUCAGUAAAAUGGCUGACGAUGGCCGUAAAAAA
Molecule: long non-coding RNA, 1296 nt
Organism: Rhagoletis zephyria (snowberry fruit fly)
Lineage: Eukaryota; Metazoa; Arthropoda; Insecta; Diptera; Tephritidae
Source: RefSeq, a predicted model, not a curated record